GACCUCGAAUCAGGUAGGACUACCCGCUGAACUUAAGC
RNAcentral lists this ribosomal RNA (38 nucleotides) under Balansia henningsiana. RNAcentral describes it as "partial large subunit ribosomal RNA". The record is from RNAcentral. Lineage: Eukaryota; Fungi; Ascomycota; Sordariomycetes; Hypocreales; Clavicipitaceae.